This 253-nucleotide ribosomal RNA is filed under the name uncultured bacterium. RNAcentral describes it as "partial 16S ribosomal RNA". It matches the Rfam family "Bacterial small subunit ribosomal RNA", at positions 524 to 776 of the family's 1533-position model. The record is from RNAcentral.
UACAGAGGGUGCGAGCGUUAAUCGGAAUUACUGGGCGUAAAGCGUGCGUAGACGGUAGCGUAAGUCAGAUGUGAAAGCCCCGGGCUCAACCUGGGAAUUGCAUUUGAUACUCUGAGACUGGAGUACGGGAGAGGAGAGUGGAAUUCCCAGUGUAGAGGUGAAAUUCGUAGAUAUUGGGAAGAACACCAGUGGCGAAGGCGGCUCUCUGGACCGUAACUGACGCUGAGGCGCGAAGGCCAGGGGAGCAAACGGG